Molecule: ribosomal RNA, 553 nt
Filed under: uncultured bacterium
Lineage: Bacteria
Description: partial 16S ribosomal RNA
Rfam family: Bacterial small subunit ribosomal RNA (bases 1-296)
Source: RNAcentral
GGGCCUAUAUUUUAAACCCCCGGGGGAAAUUAAAAACCCAAUUUUCUCUUGGAAAACCUUUGGCAAUUGGGGGUUUCCGAAAAAUUUGGACACAUGGCGGCUUCGGCUUGUCACUUAUAGGAUGGACCCGCGUCGCAUUAGCUAGUUGGUGAGGUAACGGCUCACCAAGGCAACGAUGCGUAGCCGACCUGAGAGGGUGAUCGGCCACACUUGGGACUGAGACACGGCCCAGACUCCUACGGGAGGCAGCAGGUAGGGAAUCUUCCGCAAUGGACGAAAAGUCUGACGGGAGCAACCGCCCGCGUUGAGUUGAUGAAAGGCUUUUCGGGGUCGGUAAAAACCUCUGUUGNUUCAGGGGAAACGAAAACACAGUUGGCUAAGGUUUUGAAAUUCAAGGCUUGGCACCCUUUUGGAACCGGGNUACCUUUAAACCCNGGAAAAGCCCACCGGCUUUAACUUACCGGUUGGCCCAGGCAGGCCGGCGCGGGUUAAUUCCCGGUUAGGUUGGCCAAGGCGUUUUUUCCNGGGNAAUUUCUNUUGGGGCGGUUAAAAG